Long non-coding RNA from Pistacia vera, 271 nucleotides. RefSeq lists it as uncharacterized. Lineage: Eukaryota; Viridiplantae; Streptophyta; Magnoliopsida; Sapindales; Anacardiaceae. The record is from RefSeq and is a predicted model, not a curated record. The transcript has 3 exons.
AGGACGCUUGAUUGCAAUAGUUUUGGAAGAUAUGAAAUUGCCUUGUUAUGUUUGGGCAUGAUGCAUUUCCACUUUGGGCAUCCAAAGCAAGCUUUAGAGGUUUUAACUGAAGCUGUUUGUUUCUCUCAACAGUAAUGAUACUUCUCUUGCAUACACGUUGGCAGCUAUUUGCAACUUGUUGGCUGAAAUUGGAAUCUCAACCACAACUGGGAUUCUCGGAUCAUCCUACUCACCUAUAACCAGCAUAGGCACUUCAUUGUCUGUCCAGCAG